AGGACGAACGCUGGCGGCGUGCUUAACACAUGCAAGUCGAGCGGAAAGGCCUUUCGGGGUACUCGAGCGGCGAACGGGUGAGUAACACGUGAGUAAUCUGCCCAUCGCUUCAGGAUAGCCAUCGGAAACGGUGAUUAAUACUGGAUAUGACAUUCCUUCGCAUGUUGGGGUGUGGAAAGUUUUUUCGGCGGUGGAUGUGCUCGCGGCCUAUCAGCUUGUUGGUGGGGUAAUGGCCUACCAAGGCUUUGACGGGUAGCCGGCCUGAGAGGGUGACCGGCCACACUGGGACUGAGACACGGUCCAGACU
This 307-nucleotide ribosomal RNA is filed under the name uncultured soil bacterium. RNAcentral's name for it is "bacterial SSU rRNA". It matches the Rfam family "Bacterial small subunit ribosomal RNA", at positions 26 to 337 of the family's 1533-position model. The record is from RNAcentral.